This 487-nucleotide ribosomal RNA is filed under the name uncultured bacterium. Its description in RNAcentral is "bacterial SSU rRNA". It matches the Rfam family "Bacterial small subunit ribosomal RNA", at positions 501 to 987 of the family's 1533-position model. The record is from RNAcentral.
CUACGUGCCAGCAGCCGCGGUAAUACGUAGGUCCCGAGCGUUGUCCGGAUUUAUUGGGCGUAAAGCGAGCGCAGGCGGUUAGAUAAGUCUGAAGUUAAAGGCUGUGGCUUAACCAUAGUACGCUUUGGAAACUGUUUAACUUGAGUGCAAGAGGGGAGAGUGGAAUUCCAUGUGUAGCGGUGAAAUGCGUAGAUAUAUGGAGGAACACCGGUGGCGAAAGCGGCUCUCUGGCUUGUAACUGACGCUGAGGCUCGAAAGCGUGGGGAGCAAACAGGAUUAGAUACCCUGGUAGUCCACGCCGUAAACGAUGAGUGCUAGGUGUUAGACCCUUUCCGGGGUUUAGUGCCGUAGCUAACGCAUUAAGCACUCCGCCUGGGGAGUACGGCCGCAAGAUUAAAACUCAAAGGAAUUGACGGGGACCCGCACAAGCGGUGGAUGAUGUGGAUUAAUUCGAUGCAACGCGAAGAACCUUACCUGGUCUUGACAU